CCUACGGGAGGCAGCAGUGGGGAAUAUUGCACAAUGGGCGAAAGCCUGAUGCAGCGACGCCGCGUGAGGGAUGACGGCCUUCGGGUUGUAAACCUCUUUCAGCAGGGAAGAAGCGAAAGUGACGGUACCUGCAGAAGAAGCGCCGGCUAACUACGUGCCAGCAGCCGCGGUAAUACGUAGGGCGCAAGCGUUGUCCGGAAUUAUUGGGCGUAAAGAGCUCGUAGGCGGCUUGUCGCGUCGGUUGUGAAAGCCCGGGGCUUAACCCCGGGUCUGCAGUCGAUACGGGCAGGCUAGAGUGUGGUAGGGGAGAUCGGAAUUCCUGGUGUAGCGGUGAAAUGCGCAGAUAUCAGGAGGAACACCGGUGGCGAAGGCGGAUCUCUGGGCCAUUACUGACGCUGAGGAGCGAAAGCGUGGGGAGCGAACAGGAUUAGAUACCCUGGUAGUCCACGCCGUAAACGGUGGGAACUAGGUGUUGGCGACAUUCCACGUCGUCGGUGCCGCAGCUAACGCAUUAAGUUCCCCGCCUGGGGAGUACGGCCGCAAGGCUAAAACUCAAAGGAAUUGACGG
RNAcentral lists this ribosomal RNA (568 nucleotides) under uncultured bacterium. Its description in RNAcentral is "bacterial SSU rRNA". It matches the Rfam family "Bacterial small subunit ribosomal RNA", at positions 338 to 916 of the family's 1533-position model. The record is from RNAcentral.